UGGAGUACGUGGUUGGUCCCUGCUGGGGGACAACACGGCAGGGCCUGGCCCAGCUCAGGGCGGAGGGCUCUAUCACAGGUUCAGGAGGUCAGAGUCAGCUAGUCAGGGACGGCUACUAUGGAAGGGGGGCAUUUGGAUGGGCCGAACCUUCUAGAAGCUUCGUUCUGGAGCCACUAGCAAGAGGGGCUUUCACCCUGGCACCACCACAUAUCAGACUUGGGAGAGGACUGAGCCUUCUGGAGGAUGGCGCCCCGCCCCGUCACAUGUCGCAGCUUGAGUUUCCCAGCUGGCGUGGGUGGCCCUGCCGUGGGAGCUCUCCUGACCUGCACGGCUCAGAGCCAAGUCUUCCCAGAUGGUUUCAGGCCUCAACUUACCCUGAGGCCUCGGCUGGGAGCCCCGUCCUGGGCCUCUGUCCCUGGCUACCGGGAUCCGGUUGGCCUGGGCCUGGUGGAGAUCCUGGUGGCUUGGAGCGUCUCUCUGGAUCCCACAGCCCCACCCACUCAGAACGGCCCCAGACAGGCACCCAGAAGAGCCCGGAAGAGAGCAGAAGGAGCAGCCAGCUCCAAUGUCUUCUCCAUGUUCGACCAAUCCCAGAUCCAGGAGUUUAAAGAGGCCUUCACCAUCAUGGACCAGAACCGGGAUGGCUUCAUCGACAAGGAGGACCUGAGGGACACCUUUGCCGCCCUGGGCCGCAUCAAUGUGAAGAACGAGGAGCUGGAUGCCAUGGUGAAGGAGGCCCCUGGGCCCAUCAACUUCACUGUCUUCCUGACCAUGUUUGGGGAGAAGCUGAAGGGCACGGACCCAGAGGAGACCAUUCUCCACGCCUUCAAGGUGUUCGACACUGAGGGGAAAGGUUUUGUCAAGGCUGAUUUGUAAGUUCCCCCUGCUCUCUGUUUCGGUUUUUCUUUCCCCAAAGUCUCAGGUGAUAAUGAGCCCGGGUGGGGUCAGGGUGGGUGGCAGCCCAGCCUCCUCUCCCGCCCAGAACUCAGCGGGCUCGAGCAGCAUCGGGCCAGGAGCCAGGAGGCUGCUGCCACGCCCAGCUCAGCCAUCACUUGACGUCCCUUCCCCUCUCUGGGCCUCAGUAUCCCCAUCUCUGUGUGGAAGCGGACAGGGAGAGUGGGGUCACCAGGGCUGGGCUUCCCAGGGGCGAGAGUGGGGGUGGGGGCAGAGGUGGGCCUUGAAGGACGACUAAGGAUUGCCUGGGCUGGGGCAGAGAACAUUCUAGAUGCAGGAACUUAGUGAGUGAAGGGCCAGGGCUUGGCAUGUGUGGGGUUGGGGAGCAGGGUUGGGCUGUGGCUGGAGGGCGUGGACGGACAUGAGUGGGGGACACUGAGCACAAAGGGCAGACAGGGCCUGUGUGGGGUGGCUCUAGACUCCAGGUCUGCCCUGGGGACAUGGAGAACCCAAGAAAGAGUUAGGCAGGGGCAACAUGGAGGCCAGCCUGGAGGAGGAGACGAGAAGUUUGCAGCCUCCACAAGGGCCGUGUCCAUAGGGAUGGAGGGGAGUGGUCAGAUAAGUGGAGCCCCAGGGGCCAGCACCCAUGGGAUCCAGGGUUCUGGGGAGAAAGUUGGGCCAGAUGUUUCUGGAGUCUGAGUGGAUGCCCGGAUGGAGGCACCAGCUCAGCCGGGGAUGCACAGAGAGUGAGGUGGCUGCAGCCAGCUGUCCGGCAGGCCACUGGGCUGGCGUUAUUGGGGUGGGGCCCCUGAUGCCCGCCAUGCUUGAGAAUCUCACGCCAGUGGGAGCUCAAGGCAGAGAGCCACAGGUGGCAGGCAGGGGCAGGCAGGGCAGUGGCAGCCUCCCCAGGCGCCCGGACUCUGGGCUGACCUCUGAGCUGUCUCCAGGCAGUCCCCUCAGAGCCUCUAAGGUCUCGCUGGGCCUGUCGGUGGCCCCGGGCAGGCAGGAUUUCCUCGCCAGCACAGGCUUCCUGACCAGUCGUUCUGAUGCCUCAGGCCUCGGCUUCGGGGCUGGCCUUGCUGACUCUUAGAACCAUCAUGCACUGGAGGUGGGUUAUGAGGGGCAGGCGCGGUGGGGGGACACACGGAGGGUCUGUCUUGUCUCUCAGACGUUCGUUCUCACCAUCUCCUGCCCCCAAAGUUGUGAGUCACACUCUCCCCAGGGGUAGGGAGGGAGUCUCAGGGUUUCUCCCGGCUGCAGCCCUCUCCUUCACCCCUCCCUCUGGGGCCAUGGCUCCCACUCCCAUCUUGGGGACCCGGGGCGGGAGGCAAGGGGGGCACACCCUGGAGUGGCCUGGACCAGCCCCUCUCCUGCCACCCACCUUCUCUCCCACUAGCACAAGGCCAGGGCUGGGAGGAACCCUGUGGGGACCCAAUUUGGGAAGUGAAGGCACUGCCCCCGGGAUACGGGACCUGAGAGACGUGGCUGCCAGCCAGGCAGGCCACAGAGGAGGCUCUGGUUGAAACGGAGUCUUGUGAAAAGUCUCCAGCUUGGAGAGUCGGAAACUGUGACUGUGCUGCAGUAACAUAAAUAAUGGAAAAUGAGCAUCCAUCCUUAGCGGGGCCGCCACCGCCGGCGCCACGGGACACUCUGGGUACACAGGGCCCGGCUCAGCCCUCGGAUCCCAUCGCCGCCCACUGCAAUCCCUUGGGAACCCUGCAGGGCCAGCCGAGCUCCUGGGGGCAUCAGUCCCUCCCACGCAGCCUCGAAUGCAGCAUCCUCUCUGCCUCCGGCAGCUCCUCCAGGACCAGGCAGCUCUGGCUCCUGAGGGCAGCUGCUCUUCUGGACAACCCAGGGGACAGGCCGCCCCCCGCCACUGCAGAUCAUUACCCUUCCCCAGCCUCAGUUUCCCUCUCUGUAAAAGAGGGUACUAGUACUCACUUCCCAGGGCCGUGGGGAGCAAGUGAGAGCAGGCCCAGGAGGACACCGACCUGAGUGCACCUUCCCACCCCUCGGCUGAGUGUGAGCAUCUUGCUGACCGUAAAACACGCACAGACGUCAGAGAAAAUCACAGGCUAAGAAAGCGGUGCUUCCAGAACUGAAGCAACGACCUCCCCUCGGGGACCGGGAGGCUGAUCAUUAGUGCAUGAUGGGAAAUCAGAGUGGCCCCAAGGUCGUGUUGGAGUCCUGAGGUCAUUUCAUUUGGUCCGCACCUGAUGCUGGGAGAAGAGUCCACGUCACAAAGGAGGAAACUGAGGCUGAGAGCAGAAGUGUCCGCCUGAGGCCACAUGGCCAUCUGGGGGCCGGAGGGCCAGGCUCAGCAUCAAAGAGAAGCUCAUGACACAGGCAGACCGGUUCAGCGAGGAGGAGGUCAAGCAGAUGUUUGCGGCUUUCCCACCAGAUG
Molecule: RNA transcript, 3298 nt
Organism: Equus quagga
Lineage: Eukaryota; Metazoa; Chordata; Mammalia; Perissodactyla; Equidae
Gene: MYL10
Gene name: myosin light chain 10
Exons: 8
Source: RefSeq, a predicted model, not a curated record